UUCUGAUAUUAGAAUAGUACUAGCAAUUUUCCUUUUCCCUUUACCUUCUUUUAUUUAUGUAUACCUCUUAAUUUCUCUUACAAGCAACGGAGAUAAACAAGGCUGAUUGGAAUACCCUUUUCAAGCCUUACCCUUUCUUUGAUGCAUACAAGAACUAUCUGGAGAUUGACAUCAUUUUCUAAUCAAUGCAGAAAAUGAUGAUGACCUGAGGAAAUGGAAAGGCUGGUUUGAAUCCCAGCUCUGCCAACUGACAUUGAAGGUGAAAGGGUUUUUGUUCAUUUAAUAAUUAUAUGAUCCUGGACCAAUGGAUAUAUAGCAUCCUUUGCCAAGGUAUGAAUUUUCUAUUUACCAACUUUGAAUGAAGGGGUUGCCAUACUUCCUUUGAUCCCUACAUUUGUUAGAGAACUACCUAAGAUGAAAUUUCUAGCUAUUCGAUAGACAUAAAAGAGAUGAACAUGACAGUGGUCCACACUGAGAGAGAAAAGGCAAAAGAUUGGACUGUUGGCAUUUUCUAAUCUCACACACAUGAUCCGAUAUAUGUGGGAACAUGGAUCUCGAUUCCAUCUUAUGGUUCCCACCAUCAAUUGAACUAAGACCCAGUUGAGUUGGGUCUCUUUUUUUUAUUAGUUAAAAAGUAUGGUGUUGUGAAGUGAAAAUAGUGAUAGGAAAGUGUAAUUGUGUUAGGUUUGUGGAUACACAGUGGAGUAAAAGGGAGACAACACUAGUGCAGUGAGAGGAGCAGAAGUCUUGAAGCUAAUUGCAAUACCUACUUAAAGCUUCAAAAAAUGGGUUCAAUUCCUUGCCCAAAAACAUAUCAGUAUGUAUUCAAUUAUCUUUUGUUGUGCUUCAGUGUUAUAAUCAGGACAAUCUACGUUGGAUCAUUGAUGAUGGUUUUGUA
Magnolia sinica is the source of this 898-nucleotide long non-coding RNA. RefSeq lists it as uncharacterized. The record is from RefSeq and is a predicted model, not a curated record. The transcript is spliced from 2 exons. NCBI's taxonomy places the organism in Eukaryota, Viridiplantae, Streptophyta, Magnoliopsida, Magnoliales, Magnoliaceae.